Molecule: ribosomal RNA, 188 nt
Filed under: Raorchestes charius (Karnataka bubble-nest frog)
Lineage: Eukaryota; Metazoa; Chordata; Amphibia; Anura; Rhacophoridae
Description: partial 16S ribosomal RNA
Source: RNAcentral
GCCCAAUAUCUAGCCUAAAUCCACCAUAUGUUUAUUCUAUACUAAUCUUUUAAGCCAAAACAUUUUAACUUUAAAGUAGAGGCGAUCGAAAAAAAUACUUAGCGCUUAAGAUAAAGUACCGCAAGGGAAAGCUGAAAUAAAAAUGAAAUAACUUUAAGCCACCUAUAGCAGAGAUUAAUACUCGUACU